ACGGAAGGCAGCAGUGAGGAAUAUUGGUCAAUGGACGCAAGUCUGAACCAGCCAUGCCGCGUGCAGGAAUAAGGCCCUAUGGGUCGUAAACUGCUUUUGUGGUGGAGCAAUAAGUCGUACGUGUACGGCGAUGAGAGUACAUCACGAAUAAGCAUCGGCUAACUCCGUGCCAGCAGCCGCGGUAAUACGGAGGAUGCAAGCGUUAUCCGGAUUUAUUGGGUUUAAAGGGUGCGUAGGCUGUGGUCCAAGUCAGGGGUGAAAGGCCGGAGCUCAACUCCGGAACUGCCUUUGAUACUGGAUUGCUGGAAUACGGAUGCCGUGGGAGGAAUGAGUAGUGUAGCGGUGAAAUGCAUAGAUAUUACUCAGAACACCGAUUGCGAAGGCAUCUCACGAAUCCGUCAUUGACGCUGAGGCACGAAAGCGUGGGGAUCAAACAGGAUUAGAUACCCUGGUA
RNAcentral lists this ribosomal RNA (454 nucleotides) under uncultured Rikenellaceae bacterium. RNAcentral describes it as "partial 16S ribosomal RNA". It matches the Rfam family "Bacterial small subunit ribosomal RNA", at positions 341 to 792 of the family's 1533-position model. Lineage: Bacteria; Pseudomonadati; Bacteroidota; Bacteroidia; Bacteroidales; Rikenellaceae. The record is from RNAcentral.